RNAcentral lists this ribosomal RNA (675 nucleotides) under uncultured Vibrionaceae bacterium. Its description in RNAcentral is "bacterial SSU rRNA". It matches the Rfam family "Bacterial small subunit ribosomal RNA", at positions 1 to 671 of the family's 1533-position model. Lineage: Bacteria; Pseudomonadati; Pseudomonadota; Gammaproteobacteria; Vibrionales; Vibrionaceae. The record is from RNAcentral.
UAGAGUUUGAUCCUGGCUCAGAUUGAACGCUGGCGGCAGGCCUAACACAUGCAAGUCGAGCGGUAACAGGAAUUAGCUUGCUAAUUCGCUGACGAGCGGCGGACGGGUGAGUAAUGCCUGGGAAUAUGCCUUGAUGUGGGGGAUAACUAUUGGAAACGAUAGCUAAUACCGCAUAAUGUCUUCGGACCAAAGAGGGGGAUCUUCGGACCUCUCGCGUCAAGAUUAGCCCAGGUGAGAUUAGCUAGUUGGUGGGGUAAGAGCUCACCAAGGCGACGAUCUCUAGCUGGUCUGAGAGGAUGAUCAGCCACACUGGAACUGAGACACGGUCCAGACUCCUACGGGAGGCAGCAGUGGGGAAUAUUGCACAAUGGGCGAAAGCCUGAUGCAGCCAUGCCGCGUGUAUGAAGAAGGCCUUCGGGUUGUAAAGUACUUUCAGUCGUGAGGAAGGGUAUGUAGUUAAUAGCUGCAUAUCUUGACGUUAGCGACAGAAGAAGCACCGGCUAACUCCGUGCCAGCAGCCGCGGUAAUACGGAGGGUGCGAGCGUUAAUCGGAAUUACUGGGCGUAAAGCGCAUGCAGGUGGUUCAUUAAGUCAGAUGUGAAAGCCCGGGGCUCAACCUCGGAACCGCAUUUGAAACUGGUGGACUAGAGUGCUGUAGAGGGGGGUAGAAUUUCA